UUCAGAAUGAAUCAGUCAGGGGAACAUCUGCUUCUGAUCCUCAUCUUUUAAAACUGAAAGAUACUGUUUUUUAUGUUCAUCAUAAUAUCAAUAAUUAACAUGACAUUCUGGGUUCAACAGUGAAAAUCAGCUGUUCGAAUCCAUCAAGUUACCUUCACUGACAAAUUACUAAAAUAACUGCCUAUUGGAAGAUUAUCAGUGCUGUUGAAACAGUUUUCUAUUAAUUGUUUUUACUUUACGUUAUUGUUGAUAAAAAGAGAAAAGUAUUCUCUCACUACCAAAAAAAACUGUAAGACAACUUGUGUCUCUGCAGAUGAUCAGCGGUUUGGAUUCGGAGUCCUCCUUACUCUGAGGAUUGUGGGAAUCGUAGCUCUCUGCAGUUCAGUCGUCAUCUUUGAGUGGUGAGACUAACUUUGCUAUUUGUAGAGACUUUGAUCGUUAUUAAAUGCUACAGUUCAACAUGUUCAUGUUUUCUUUACAGCUGGUUCAGAAGGUUUCGCCAAAACCAAUGAAGGACUCACAAGAAGCAGACUAUGUCAACACAGUGGAGGAGAGUCGAGCCUCUUGAGCCACGAGGAGAAGAAGAAGAUGUUAAAUCCAUCAUCAGUGACGUGGUUUAUUCUUUCUAAUAAUGUCUCACGACAUGUUUGUCAUUCAUGGAGUGAAAUCUGUUGUUUGGCGGAUCACAGCGUUUUUCAGUGUUGUAGAGAUGAACUGGUUCUGAUCAGUAGAGGAUAAACAGACACAUAAUUCAUAGCUUGAUAUUUUCUUUGUGCAUUGAAACAGCAUUUAAACUAGCUUAAUAUGCAUUUCUUAUUUGAAGUAUUUUGUUCCAUUUCAUGUUCAUUUCAUGAGCAACACAUACCUUCACUGUAUUCUUGUUUGUUCUCGUAGUUAUUGCUUGAAUUCUUUAUCAACAGAAGUGUUUUCCUUUCAAGUAAAACUGUACUUAUGGAAUUUUUGCAGUUAUCAAAUUGUAAAACAUUAAAUAAUAACUGAAGCA
Molecule: long non-coding RNA, 1003 nt
Filed under: Salarias fasciatus (jewelled blenny)
Lineage: Eukaryota; Metazoa; Chordata; Actinopteri; Blenniiformes; Blenniidae
Description: lncRNA (ENSSFAG00005023188.1)
Source: RNAcentral